CGAGCUGCGAAGCAAGCAUGUCCUUCAAGGAGGAGGAGGGCUCAGCAACUUGGGUGUGCUCCAAUUCUUCACAAGUCUUCAGGACCUGCGCCUUGGAUCCUGCUACAUCCGCACGAUGAAACAGAUUGAGGAUUACAGGCAUAAAAGGCAAAGGUGGAUCAAAGUGGUCAAGUUUUAUAAGGAGAACAAGAAAACAAUCGCCACUGUACUAUCCGGCAGUGCUGCACUUGCCAGUAUCUUAGGGACGAUCUUGUCUCUGAAAAAAUAGCAGUUGUAAUGCAGUUUGAUGUAUCUUUGUUAUUUAAUUUUCAUUGUAUCUAAAUUCCAUUUGUAAUAAAAUGUGGAUCCCAUUUGCAGUUUUUGCAUUCCACUAGACUAUACUAGUUUAAAUUUGUGCUACCGCUUUGCUAUUGCAUUCUACCAAAUACGAAUGCAUUCUUUUUCUUCAAGACCUGACCUACCCAUGCACUAUCUAACAACAUCAAUUUGGUGCGAAUAGUAACGAGUAGAUAGUGUAUAUAUAAUCUGCAAAUUGUAACGAGUUAGUGGGUUGGUCAAACCAAAUCAAUAUCAUUCGUUAAAAGCUCAGACCACCAAAAACUUCAGCUACUAGUGCAGCCAACGUUGUACUAUCUCAGAAAAGUACCCAAAACAUAGCAUUACAAGCUGCAGCUGAACUUUCACAACAUCAUGCGCUCGGAUCUUUGCAACGGGGCUAAGAAAAAGCGUGCUUAAUCAAAUUCCAUCCCAGAUCCGUAUCCCUCGCGUCCGAUUGGGUACUGGGAGACGUACCGAGUUGCCGAGUCGCGGAACCAGGGAGGGCAGGGUCGAUGGGACGGGUGGACGGCCGGACCCGGACGGGGCGUCCGCGACAGCCGGACGGUGAGCCGGGCGACGACGUGGCCGUGACCUAUUGCCGCUGGCGAGGGGAGCCAGCGGCCGCGUCUGGCUAUGCGAGGCGCGGAGCGGUGGCGGCUCCCGGAGGCGGACUGCGGUGGCCGCCAGUCUCGGGCGCAGUCGGGGGAGUUCCCCGAUUCGAUCAAUCCCCUGUCCGCCAGUCUCUGUGUGUGUGUUUUCUCUCGUCGUUUUUCGUUGGCCUCGUGGCAUGGGCCAGGAGGUGUGCACUGGGCUGAGGCCGUGGCCU
RNAcentral lists this long non-coding RNA (1144 nucleotides) under Brachypodium distachyon (stiff brome). Its description in RNAcentral is "long non-coding RNA (BDIS_LNC005484)". Lineage: Eukaryota; Viridiplantae; Streptophyta; Magnoliopsida; Poales; Poaceae. The record is from RNAcentral.